UUGACCUCAAAUCAGGUAGGACUACCCGCUGAACUUAAGCAUAUCAAUAAGCGGAGGAAAAGAAACUAACAAGGAUUCCCCUAGUAACUGCGAGUGAAGCGGGAAGAGCUCAAAUUUGAAAUCUGGCGGUUUCUGACCGUCCGAGUUGUAAUCUAGAGAAGUGCUACCUGUGCUGGACCGUGUACAAGUCUCCUGGAAUGGAGCAUCACAGAGGGUGAGAAUCCCGUCUUUGACAUGGACUGCCUGUACGUUAUGGUGCGCUCUCGAAGAGUCGAGUUGUUUGGGAAUGCAGCUCAAAAUGGGUGGUAAAUGCCAUCUAAAGCUAAAUAUUGGCGAGAGACCGAUAGCGAACAAGUACCGUGAGGGAAAGAUGAAAAGAACUUUGGAAAGAGAGUUAAACAGUACGUGAAAUUGCUGAAAGGGAAACGCUUGAAGUCAGUCACGUCAGCUAGAAAUCAGCCUUGCUUUUGCUUGGUGUACUUUCUUGUUGAUGGGUCAGCAUCAAUUUUGACCAUUGGAUAAAGUCGUUGGGAAUGUGGCAUCCUUGGAUGUGUUAUAGCCCAGUGUCGCAUACAAUGGUUGGGAUUGAGGAACUCAGCACGCCGCAAGGCCGGGUUUCAAACCACGUUCGUGCUUAGGAUGCUGGCAUAAUGGCUUUAAUCGACCCGUC
Molecule: ribosomal RNA, 670 nt
Filed under: Inocybe abjecta
Lineage: Eukaryota; Fungi; Basidiomycota; Agaricomycetes; Agaricales; Inocybaceae
Description: eukaryotic LSU rRNA
Rfam family: Eukaryotic large subunit ribosomal RNA
Source: RNAcentral